Long non-coding RNA from Saccostrea echinata, 2677 nucleotides. RefSeq lists it as uncharacterized. The record is from RefSeq and is a predicted model, not a curated record. NCBI's taxonomy places the organism in Eukaryota, Metazoa, Mollusca, Bivalvia, Ostreida, Ostreidae. The transcript is spliced from 4 exons.
CCCCACUUAGUUUGAUAAAUCCCAAAACAUCUCUUUAUACACCUUACAUGUAUGACAUCUUCUGAUUGAGGAAAUCCCCAAACGUCUCUAUAUAUACCGUACGAAAUCUCUGAUUGAGACACCGCAUUGUUCUGUUCUGGUAAGUUCACGUCGAAAUUGAAAAGACGAUGUUUUCCAUUCUUUUACUGCUUUUUAUGUCAAUAUCACAAGUCAGAACGGGGUCGUUGUUAACCGGUAUGUAUGAUCCGAACUCUACGGCUUUGAUCAAUGAAAGAAGUGACAUAAAGGAAAUCGACGUUCUUCGGCAGAUCAUCAAUCAAGAAACUCUCAUCCGUUUAGCCGUGGUGAAGGAUGUAAAGGCAGUAGAGGACGAUGUUACUUCUGCGAACCGAAGCAUGCCUUCUACAGAAACGAUGGUCUCCACGCUACAGCAGACAUUAGAAUCAUUUAAAAGUCAGAAUGAUUCUUUAAAUCGAUACAGUACUUUAGCACAGAAAGUAGAAACAUUACAAAGGCAGGUUUAUACAAUACGGCAGGACAAAACUUAGGAGCAGAGAAAGACAGAUUGGUACUCUUAGUCAGGAUAACGCUUUACAACGUAAAAUAGAAACAUUACAAAGAAAGGUUGAUUCUCUGACUGAUAGACAGAUAAAAGAAAACAAGAAUUGGCAGAAAAAAAUUCAGGAAAUUGAACAGAAGUUUAAUAGAAACAUCGCCGAAGUUUACGAACUUCUAAAUAACAGAACGUUGGAAACCGUUAAAAGAGGUACAUACACACACACAAACACAUACUCUUUCUCUCUCCCUCUCUCUCUCACACACAGAUAUUAUUGUAAUUAUUAUUAUUAUUAUUUAUUUAUUUUAUUAUUAUUAUUGAUUUUAUAUUCGCGUCUUUUGUUAUGUAGAUUUAAAACUAAAUGUGCAUUGUAAGGACCACUUUCUAGAAGGACACACACAGUCUGGUGUUUAUAAGAUAAAUCCCUAUGGAAACGAGAGUCAGAUCAACGUGUACUGUGACAUGGUGACUGAAGGUGGAGGGUGGACAGCAAUCCAGAAACGCGUGAGUGGAUCAGUGAGUUUUAACAGAACGUGGGCGGAGUACAAGAGUGGGUUCGGGAGCGCUGACGACUCUUACUGAAUUGGAAAUGACGCUGUUCACCAGCUGACCAAAGGAUGGAACUUAUCCCUCUACGUCUCCAUUGCAUUACAAAAUGGUACAACUUUUUAUGAACUAUAUCACCAGUUUUCCAUUAAUGAUGAGGCAGACAACUACAAACUUCUCCUGGGAGGACCAGCUACUGGGACCUUAGGUGACAGAAUAAUAAACACUGGUCAUAAUUGGUACAAUUUGUCUGGAAUGUCAUUUAGUACCCCAGAUAUAGAUACCAAUAGAUUCAGUGGUGAUAACGGUACUGUUAAUAACAGACGAGGAGAAGGCUGGUGUUCUAACUUGUGUUACCGCGCCUCAGUGGAGAUAAUGGUGCUGUUCAGUACGGACGAGGAGGAGGCUGGUGUUCUAACUUGUGUCACCGCGCCUCAGUGGAGAUAACGGUGCUGUUCAGUACGGACGAGGAGGAGGCUGGUGUUCUAACUUGUGUCACCGCGCCUCAGUGGAGAUAACGGUGCUGUUCAGUACGCACGAGGAGGAGGCUGGUGUUCUAACUUGUGUCACAAUGCCUUCUUCCCUGGUCAUCAAAGUACUGGCCUUGGUAUCCUACAAUAGGGACUGGGUCAACUAUUAGGAAGACAUUGAUGUUGAUCAAGCGCCACUAAGAAAACUACUCUAAUUCUUUGAUUGUUCCCGAAACAAAUAAAUCAAUGGCAAUGUGAUAAUAUGUCAUAUGAAUGAUGAAUGGGUUGACACUUCGUAAAAGAGGAAGGUACGGUUUGGGCCUUAUUUUGCCCUAAAAUUUUAAUGUUUCCAAAAAGUUAUGAAAUUGGCUUAAAUAUAAGUUGAGUAUAUGAAUGUGAUAAAUCAUGAAAGAAUAUGGCAUGAAGAAGGGCCAUUCUGGAAAUAUGGCAUCAUUAAUUUGGUAUAUUUUUAGGUUUUAAACAGAAAAAGCUCGAAAUGACUCAUUUCGGGUGUUAUUUUCCUUUACAAAAUAGUGUCCACAGCCCUCGCCUACUUCACUUUUCGUAUAUGUUAUGUAAAAUACUUUGAGAUUCACAUUUCUCAAAAUCUUUGUGGGCAAUACAUGUGCUCUAUAUUAUCUGAGAGAAAAUUCCCGUGAAAAUGGAUGUCUUCUACAUCUUUUUAAAAAGAAUGUGGGAAAAUGCACAAGUUUAGUGCGUCACAAUUAGCAUUUAGGAAGUCAUGUUAGAAAAACGAUUUGUAUGCUCUAAUUGUAUGGAAUUUCAAGGUUUCAGAAAGCACGAGUUUUAAUUUCUUACAUCACUUUCAUAUUUUAGAAAAAUACAGGGCCAGAUUUGUAUUGAAACCGUCCCUUGUUCAUUGUUUACUUUACCUAUCUUCUGAUAAUUUUAUGAGUAUUUUUUAUAUGAACUGAAAUCGCAGGUUUGAGCAAUCAAAGGUUAACCUUUGUUGUUGAUCUAUCCUUUUAUUUUUCUUUUCCCAACCAUUUUUCUUACUGAUGCAGACUAUAAAAGAGAAAAAAUGAAAGGAUAAUUCAAUAGAAUUCUAUUAUAAAGCAAUUGAUAGUUCAUUAGAAUUCUAUUG